This 256-nucleotide ribosomal RNA is filed under the name uncultured bacterium. Its description in RNAcentral is "partial 16S ribosomal RNA". It matches the Rfam family "Bacterial small subunit ribosomal RNA", at positions 521 to 776 of the family's 1533-position model. The record is from RNAcentral.
UAAUACGAAGGGUGCUAGCGUUGUUCGGAAUCACUGGGCGUAAAGCGCGCGUAGGCGGCGUAACAAGUCAGAGGUGAAAGCCUGGAGCUCAACUCCAGAACUGCCUUUGAAACUGUUAUGCUAGAGUGUCGGAGGGGAUAGCGGAAUUGCUAAUGUAGAGGUGAAAUUCGUAGAUAUUAGCAGGAACACCGGUGGCGAAGGCGGCUAUCUGGACGACAACUGACGCUGAGGCGCGAAAGCGUGGGGAUCAAACAGG